ACUCUUUCUCUUCUUCUUCAAUCCUCUUCUUCUUCUUCUUCUUCUUCAAUCUUUAAACAAAAUCUUAUAUGGUAUCAGAGCAACAAUUAUUCAAGAACACACAUUGAUUCUUUAAACAAAUAUACAUUGAUUCUACAAACAAAUCCGCUGUUAAUUUCUCCAAGUACAUUUCUUGAUAUUCAUAUUAAUUCGUAUUGAUUUAUUUGAUAUUCUUUCUUCUUUAUAUCUUCUAUUUCUUUUUCAUUAAAACCCUAAAAAUUUCUAAGUCACAAUGGCUUAUACUCAUUCAUAGUUUGAUAAUCCUUUUAGUCAUUUUUAUUUACAUCCCAGUGAAAAUCCCUCUUUGGUUUUAGUAUCUCCAGUUUUGAAUGAUAAAAAUUAUCACUCUUGGGCAAGAUCUAUGACGAUGUGUCUACUCUCUAAGAAUAAAUAGAAGUUUGUUGAUGGCAGUAUUCCUGUUCCAUCAAAGAUUGAUCUAAUUCAUCCUGUUUGGAAAAGGUGUAAUACGAUGGUCCCUUCUUGGAUACUCAUGUCUGUUUCUCCUUCUAUUGCACAGAGUAUUCUUUGGAUUGAUUCUGCUUUAGAUAUAUGGAAAGACUUACAUGAUAGAUUUUCACAAGGAAAUGUUGUUAGAAUGUCAGAUUUACAAGAGGAAAUGUAUGCUUUUAAACUGAAUGCUUUAUCUGUUACUGAUUACUUUACACACUUAAAGAUUUUGUGGGAUGAAUAUUCAAAUCUAAGGGUAGUUCCAAUUUGUAGUUGCAAUCCUCAAUGAGUUGUGAUGCUUUAAAGCUUGUUAAAGAUCAACAUGAUGGAGACUACAUAAUACGUUUUUUAAAGAAUCUGUUCCAGUGUUUACCAAGGAUCAAUAUAAGCAAAUUAUGAGUAUGUUGCAGCAUAAUGUAGUAUCAGGCUCACCAAAGAUUAACACGGUUGCUUCAAACUUCAAAUAUGUUGAUACAGAUUCUGGAUCCUUUCAGUUGGAAGAUGAUUGGAUUAGCUAGAAAGACUCAAGGACUUUAUCAAAUUGAUAAAGCACUUUUUAAGACUGAUAUUUCUGUGAAUGCUGUGAUUAAUCCCAUGAUUGAUUCUGAGAUGAUGUGACUGAUGUUCCUGUUAUUACUUCUGAUAAAGUUUUUGUAGAUAAUAGUAGUUUUCUUUGGCAUAACAGGUUAGGACAUUUAGCAGAUUCUAGAUUGAAAUGUUUACAGACUAAUUGUUCUUCAAUAAAGUUACAUGUCAAUAAAUAUUGUAAAAUUUGCCAUUUAGCUAAGCAAAAGAAGAUUCCUUUUCCAAUAAGUA
Molecule: long non-coding RNA, 1302 nt
Organism: Mercurialis annua (annual mercury)
Lineage: Eukaryota; Viridiplantae; Streptophyta; Magnoliopsida; Malpighiales; Euphorbiaceae
Exons: 2
Source: RefSeq, a predicted model, not a curated record